This 343-nucleotide ribosomal RNA is filed under the name uncultured marine eukaryote. RNAcentral's name for it is "SSU rRNA". It matches the Rfam family "Eukaryotic small subunit ribosomal RNA", at positions 619 to 973 of the family's 1831-position model. The record is from RNAcentral.
UUAAAAAGCUCGUAGUUGGAUUUCUGCGAGGGUGCCGAUGUCCGCCGACGCGCGUGCGCAGCGGCGCCCUCGCAUCCUUCUGUUACCACCUCUCGGCAUUCACUUGCCGGUGGUCGGCUCAGAGAAUUUACCUUGAGAAAAUUAGAGUGUUUCAGGCAGGCUAGGCCGGAAUACAUUAGCAUGGAAUAAUGGAAUAGGACUACGGUCUCGUUGUUGGUUUGAGGGACUGCAGUAAUGAUUAAUAGGGAUAGUUGGGGGCAUUAGUAUUUAAUUGUCAGAGGUGAAAUUCUCGGAUUUGUUAAAGACUAACUUAUGCGAAAGCAUUUGCCAAGGAUGUUUUCAU